AUUGAACGCUGGCGGCAGGCCUAACACAUGCAAGUCGAGCGGAUGAAGGGAGCUUGCUCCUGGAUUCAGCGGCGGACGGGUGAGUAAUGCCUAGGAAUCUGCCUGGUAGUGGGGGAUAACGUCCGGAAACGGGCGCUAAUACUGCAUACGUCCUGAGGGAGAAAGUGGGGGAUCUUCGGACCUCACGCUCUCAGAUGAGCCUAGGUCGGAUUAGCUAGUUGGUGGGGUAAAGGCCUACCAAGGCGACGAUCCGUAACUGGUCUGAGAGGAUGAUCAGUCACACGGGAGCUGGGACAGGGUCAAGACUACUACGGGAGGCAGCAGUGGGGAAUAUGGGACAAUGGGCGAAAGCCUGAUCCAGCCAGGCCGCGUGUGUGAAGAAGGUCUUCGGAGUGGAAAGCACUUUAAGGGGGGAGGAAGGGCAUUAGGUUAAGACCUUGCUGUUUUGACGUUAACAACAGAAUAAGCACCGGCUAACUUCGUG
This 484-nucleotide ribosomal RNA is filed under the name uncultured bacterium. RNAcentral's name for it is "partial 16S ribosomal RNA". It matches the Rfam family "Bacterial small subunit ribosomal RNA", at positions 30 to 507 of the family's 1533-position model. The record is from RNAcentral.